AAAGAACGCCAAAGAUCAACAUGACAAAUAAAUAGAGAAGUACACUGACUACGUAUGUAUAUAGAUAGCUUUAAUUCUAAGUAAUCUCAGAAAACUAAAGUACCCUGAAUCUUGUUUGCCUGAAAACCGACACGAAUUCCACGAUGAUAAAAUACGUCGGAUCUAGAAACGGUGCUGCACCGGUGCGUGGCUCCAUGUAAAUUGCACAGUGUAGUCGCGCCGAGAAUCCCGUCUGAUUUACGUAACAUCGCGAUAGGGCAGGAAGUCUCCGCGACAAUUCACGCCUAGUUUCAUUGAAAAUUUCAAACGGCUGGGAAAACUCGGCUGGUCUAGGCGCGACUACAUUUUUAAAUAAACAGUCCAAUUAUUCUCGAUUUCAGGAGAAUCUGGAAAAUGUCAAGCGAGGUACCAAAUUGACUUUGGCGAAGCUGAAAUUGCUACGAAACCAGGUCGUUUCAGCGCCUAGUUCCUUUCAAAUUUCCAAGCUACGAAAACUGUCCGGGUAUAACGACACUUUUACAUGAAAACGAAUCUAAACGAAUACAAACGUAAUUUAAAAAAGUAAGUAACUCACGGCGCGUUAAAUGUAAAUAUUACAAAUCAUACAACGAUUUUAAUCGUAAAAGUAAAAAUAAUAUGUGGGUAAAUAACACGUUAAACUACCAAAUUUUACGAAAAUUCUAAAAAUAUUAAAAUAAAAGAAACGACCGUUUUACGAAGCAGAAACUGGUGCGAAAGUGAAUCGUUUUCAACGUAGAAUCGUAAUUCGGAAAAAUGUUUGGAAAACGAGGUAAAUGGUGAGUGUUGGAGAAAGAAAAACAGGGGGAAACAGGCUGUUAACGUCUAAUGAAUGGAUCGCGACGAGUGAUCUAUUCCGCGUCUAGGAUCCUCGUAGAUCUCGGGCUGCCACGCCCGGACGCGACAGAAUUUAAAGCGUCUAUUUAUAAAGAGUGAACGAACGGCAUGGUACCGGGCAACGUUAAAACACAUCGGGUCAGAACGCGAGCGUAAACGUGCGAUAUGCGUGCACAUUGUGCUGAUCCGGUUAAUUCUGGGAUGGAGCAAAGAGGAGCAAAAAAGGUAGGGAAAAAAUGAAAAAAGGAGAAAAGAGAGGGAAAAAAGGGAUCACCGACAUAAUUCGUGUUCCGUGCCUCUCAUAUUUGUGGCUGGCUAUAAAUAUCCACGGCGUGCAUCGCUCUUCUGCAAACAGAGCAAAAAAUAAAACAAGUCGACGUUGGAAGGAACUGUUCGCGACGAAAUGCAAUUUUUUAACGUCCCGUAGUUUUUACGCUCGUAAACAGCUUUGUUCUUCGUCGACGAAAUUGCGACAAACGAGGAAACCGCUCGCUGGAACACGUUGGCAAAAAGCUGUGCACGCUAAUUCGCGUUCGAACGAUUGAACGCUAUUUCAUUCUUCUUUAAGGGGUAUCUCCAUAAUCUGUGUUUGACCAACAGUCGUUGCUAUUAAAUCGCCCAAUAAGUUCCUUUUCUCUUAUUUGCAAGCUUCUACCGAUUUCAGUGGCAUUCUCGCUUACUUGUUUGCGAUGAAUAUUUCGCAAUUCCUAUAUACAUUUUCGCAUUGGCUUCAAAUUUCACCAAUAUGAUCAUGAUUUCCGUGUUUCAUUACGACAAGAAUGAAAUUUUAAAAUAUCGUAGACAACGCGCACGAUAUAUACGUAAAAGUUUCCUAUGGUAAGCGUUCGAAAUGCUUUCGUCAGCCGUUCUAAAUUCGUGCGAGGGACGAUUGUUCCAAAACGAAGUCGUUUCGCCCGGAAGUGGAGAGAAGGAGCGUGCAUUUCUUCCUUUCGAAGGGACUUUCCCGUGCAGUUGCUUAUUUAAGAAACGUCUGCUCUGAAACGAGUACCAUCGGGUGUAUUUUCGUCCCUCGGUAUGAAAGCGUGGUAGAAAAUAGUUGUGGUCGUGGUUCUUCUACGCUUAAAGAACCUCUCGAUCGGAGAUACCGUCCGACCGAUGCAACUCCUCUAUUUUUUCUUUUCCUUUUUUUUCCACCUAUCGACUCGUUCCCUGCCUUCGUUUCAUAAUUCAAACCAAAGGAUCUAUCUUUCUUUCGUCGAAUCGACAUUUCCUGCCUCGUCUUCCAAGUAGACGAUUCUACUGGAAAUAAAGCAGAAUCCUUUUCACGAGUUAUCGAAUUUGUUAUAUGCCGCUGUAUACCACCCGUGCGUAAUUCCAUAUCGCAAGAAAUACGAUAACAUACAGCAUGAAACUUGGAGGAGCACACGAUCCAGUUGCCUUCGAUAAAAUCACCUUUCGUCAUCUUAGCUCAGAUAACUUUACCAGAUGAUAGUUACACAGAUUUUUAUACAAAUUUAUAUUUUUACCAACAUAAUUGUAAUAUAACCUAAGUAGAAAUUCGUUUUACUUAUUAAAUAUUAUAACAGAUACUCCGGAUAUUGAUUCGUGCAUACCUGUGCAACCAACUAUUAGCCAGGAGCGAGUGAUUAUUAGCAACAGGCACCCAAACGAUUAUAUCCGCUACUGGUUACAGUAUGGAUUUCCGGAUCCUCAACAAGAAGCGAGUUACAUAGCGAACAAGAAUCUUCUUUAACGUGAUAUUUCAUCGUCCCUCUACGUAACGACGUUUUCGAGUAGCGACCACUUUCAAACGGACAGAAUUAACGUAUCCAGUUGACAACAACGUCAAGAGGGAACAACAUGGCCGCAAGUAAUAAUAAUUGGCGGAAGCGAAGAGACGGAGAGGAGAAGAAUUUGAAAGCCGACGCCCAACGUUAAUCCCGUUUCAGUGGAAAGAAAGGCGCAUCGGGAAAUGAGAAAAGUCGGGAGAGGAAGCAAUUGCGACUGGUUUUUCAUGGUAUUCGUGAUUAUUCGGUGGAAAGGGACAAAAGAAGAGGCAAUACCGGCGGAUGAUGCGCCAUGGCACAAGGCCCGUGUGCCAUUCGUUUCUCCGUACCUGUGCAUCGUUCCUCUUGUUGCACUAGAACGGUUGACAUAUUUCUUUUAGCGGUACACAGAGACGAGAAGAGAAGCCUAGCCGACGUUUCUCCUCCAUUCUUCUUCUAUUCCUUUGGCCUAGCAACGCCAGUCAUUACCAACGCCGCCAUCAACCACACGCUGUCAUUGUCUGGACGCACUUUGCCGAUGCACGCGACAACGCUCGUUUGAAACGCGACUUUAAUUGCGUAACACCCAGCCGUCUGUCCGUUUUCACAGCGAAACGAAUUAAGACAACGAUCACGUGUACCCCAUCGUUCACCGAGAACAGUUUUCAUGCCAUUCGUGACGCUCUAAAAUAGUUCAUCUCUGUCCGAGGCAAAUUGGAAAGCAAAGGAACGAACUUGUUGCGCUUUGUUUUAUUUUAAAGUGGAUUUGUCGAGGCUGAUUUAUAGAAAACGAUAAAAGAUGAUGUGAUGUAUCGAUCGCUUGCAAUAAAAGAGACAUCGCGUAUUAUAUGUACUUGGCAUCGCUAGUGCGUGUAUUUAUAAUUCAACUUCUGAUAUUCUCGGGUAUUUAUUUUAUAUGUAUAUAUAUGUGUGUAUGAAAAUAUAGUAAUAUAGCUAUAGCAUGUUCAUUAUUUUAUAAAACGUUCAUUCUCUUAGAGAAACUGAUGCAGAACGAAAAAAAAGAAAGUAAUUAUUACACGGACGUGCAUCGAGAGCCGUGUGACCCAGAAAUACAAAUAUUAAAUCGAAGUUGAAAAACCACUUACUAAUUGACGACUGAAGUAUAAAACACGUGCCGGAGAGAUUAAAAUGAACAAUAUGCUAAAAAGAAUAUGUAUAAUAUAAAGAAAAUGAAAACGAGUCUUUGUUCAUA
Molecule: long non-coding RNA, 3795 nt
Organism: Bombus huntii
Lineage: Eukaryota; Metazoa; Arthropoda; Insecta; Hymenoptera; Apidae
Exons: 2
Source: RefSeq, a predicted model, not a curated record